This 862-nucleotide ribosomal RNA is filed under the name Myrmecridium schulzeri. RNAcentral's name for it is "partial large subunit ribosomal RNA". It matches the Rfam family "Eukaryotic large subunit ribosomal RNA", at positions 45 to 935 of the family's 3401-position model. Lineage: Eukaryota; Fungi; Ascomycota; Sordariomycetes; Myrmecridiales; Myrmecridiaceae. The record is from RNAcentral.
GCCGGGAGGAAUAAAUAAACCCAAACCAGGGAUUGCCCCAGUAACGGCGAGUGAAGCGGCAACAGCUCAAAAUUUGAAAUCUGGCGCAAGCCCGAGUUGUAAUUUGCAGAGGAUGCUUUUGGUGCGGUGCCUUCUGAGUUCCCUGGAACGGGACGCCGGAGAGGGUGAGAGCCCCGUACAGUUGGACACCAAGCCUUUGUAAAGCUCCUUCGACGAGUCGAGUAGUUUGGGAAUGCUGCUCAAAAUGGGAGGUAAAUGCCUUCUAAAGCUAAAUACCGGCCAGAGACCGAUAGCGCACAAGUAGAGUGAUCGAAAGAUGAAAAGCACUUUGAAAAGAGGGUUAAAAAGUACGUGAAAUUGUUGAAAGGGAAGCGCUCGUGACCAGACUUGCGCCCGGCGGAUCAUCCGGCCUUCUGGCCGGUGCACUCCGCCGGGCUCAGGCCAGCAUCGGUUCUUCCGGGGGGACAAAAGCGGUGGGAACGUAGCUCCUCCGGGAGUGUUAUAGCCCGCCGCAGAAUACCCCCGGGGGGACCGAGGACCGCGCUUCGGCAAGGAUGCUGGCGUAAUGGUCACCAGCGACCCGUCUUGAAACACGGACCAAGGAGUCAAGCAUUAGGGCGAGUGUUUGGGUGUCAAACCCGCACGCGAAAUGAAAGUGAACGCAGGUGAGAGCUUCGGCGCAUCAUCGACCGAUCCUGAUGUUUUCGGAUGGAUUUGAGUAAGAGCCUUGCCGCUUGGACCCGAAAAGAUGGUGAACUAUGCUUGGAUAGGGUGAAGCCAGAGGAAACUCUGGUGGAGGCUCGCAGCGGGUUCUGACGUGCAAAUCGAUCGGUCAAAUCUGAGCAUGGGGCGAAAGACUAAU